Molecule: long non-coding RNA, 4110 nt
Filed under: Panax ginseng (ginseng)
Lineage: Eukaryota; Viridiplantae; Streptophyta; Magnoliopsida; Apiales; Araliaceae
Description: long non-coding RNA (PGIN_LNC001013)
Source: RNAcentral
UAUUAGAUUAAUUAAUUUUUUGGUGUAUUAAUUGUGCAGAAACAAUUAUAGGUGUUGAGGGAAUAGUAUGUGAAAAACCAAGCUUGACAUGGUCCGGGAAUUGCGGAAACACACAACACUGUGAUAAACAGUGCCAGACCUGGGAAUCUGCAAAACAUGGAGCAUGUCACAAACGAGGCAAUUGGAAAUGCUUCUGUUACUUUGAUUGUUGAUCCAAUACAAUACCUGGGAAUAUAUUAAGAAUCUUAAACCAUGCAUGCAUGAAAAUGCAUGCGAAUAUCCUCGUACUAGCUAUUUAAUUUGAUUACUAGCCUGUUAUUAUGAGUAUGUACAUAGUGUUAUCUAAACAAAUAAGGAACACUAUUUUUAGAUGUAAUUUAGAUAUUUUCAUAUGGUCUUCUCUCAUAAGAGAGUAGGGUGGAUUCCAUCUUUAUUUGAUAGCAGCUCAUGUGAAAAUAUUAUUACAUACGAAAAUAUCAUUUCCCAGUAAAUAAAACGAAAUGCUUCUUAGCUAGCUAGCGCAUGAUGAUGGCUAGAAGUUAUUUCAUGUAUCUGUACGUUUUGAUCGUACGUUUGAUUGUGUUAUGAAUAAAUUAAGGGUUUCUAUGUUUCUUAUCAUGUAGUAGUAUUUUUUAUGGAAGUACUUUUGGGCAAUGUUUGUGAAUCUUGUGAAUAGAUAAGAAAGGGAAAGUUCCUUUAAUUUAUUUGAAAAGAAGAACUUUAUCUUCCCUUGUUCUCAAAAGUAAGCUCACUGAUAAGCUUUUAAUUUUUGGUUAACUCGACUCCAAUAUUUAUCGAAUAUGUCUCUUACUCCAUAACUUUAACGAGAAAUAGGCGCUUGACAGAUUCAUGUAAUAGAACUCACAUUCAAAGGAGAAUUGGAAGAAUCCGUUUUGUUUUUUGAAGUAUGAGGACCCAAAAAAAUAACUCAAACCUCUGUACGCAGAUUUAUUUGAAUCCGAUCACUUAAUGAUCGAUGAACGACAAGUCUUAGACUCACAGGACCUUUUAAGCCGAGCCCGAGUCAAGGCUGCUUUCUAAACUGGCUUCGAGCAUCCGGUUUCACCACCCCUGCCUGCUCUGUCCUUCGGCACUUUCCAGCUUUUUCUCCUUGUUGAUAAAAAAAAAUAUACACAUUGCAGGAGUAUGAAGCUGAGUUUGAGAAGGUUGUCAAGCGGUGGUUGGCAGUUAACCUUAUGCCGUUCCGUACUCUCGCCUACCUAGGCAUCCCGCCCAGGAAAUCCACACCAAGGAUGAAGGAUCUAAUCUAAAGAAGAAUCAUAUAAAAAAAGAUUUUGUUCUACACUUUCAAUCUUUGUCUCUCUCUUUGCCUUUUUCAUUUUCACUAUUUCAUGACUCUCAAGUCAUUUAUUUAAAAAAAAGAAAGUAUUCUAUCUUCACUAAUUUCAAGCCAAAAAUGUUAUGUAUGACGACUUAAAACCGAUAACACACUAUAAAUGUUAAUGAUCUUUAACUUAAUUGUCUUUUUUGUCUAUUCAGUUGUAUGCUGACUAAUCAUGAUAUAUAUAGCAUGGCUAUAGCCCUAAUUUAUUUAAUACUCUCUCCGUUCCUUAAUAUAGGUCGUUUUAGAGUUGUACACAAGUAUUAAGGAAAUGCUUAUAAAACAUUAAAUAUAGUAUCAAUUGUUUAGACUGCCCUUGUAUUGGAAAAAAAAAGAGUAAUGUUAUUUAUUGGACAAAAAAAUAGUGAUAAAACCAAAGUUAUAUUUAUUACUUGGGGUAAUAUUAAAAACUAAGCAAUUAAUGCUUAUUUAAAAUUCUCAAAUCACUUAUAUUUAGGAACAAAAAUAUUUUUCUAAAACGACCUAUAUUAAGUAAGUAAGGAACUGAGGGAGUAAAUGGUAAUGAAAAUCCAAAAUCUAAAGGACCAAGUCCCUUGUUCAAUGGUGUUACCCUCCAUCCAGAAAUUUACAUUUUUCGGAUUUACCGCACAACUCCUUAUGGUAGUAAAAGGAGUAUAUGGGCGUCCUCCACUAAAUUCGAUAAUUCCAAACCAAACUAAAUUACAUCAAGUGAUGAUUAUGUACCAUAUAUAUAUAUAUAUAUAUAUAUAUAUAUAUAUAUAUAUAUACGGUCCGGAUCAAGUGCAUACCCCUUAUCUUAUUCAUCCAUGCUCACCCCCUUUUAGGCCACGAUUUCGGUCAUACAACCGUCGCCUAUACUUUUAGCGACGCUAUAUGUUGUCCGUCGCUAAAAUUAUAGGCGACGGUUGUAUGACCAAAACCGUCGCCUAAAGUGGGGUGAGCACGGGUGAGUAAGAUAAGGGGUAUGCACUUAUCUUUGCUAUAUAUAUAUAUAUAUAUAUAUAUAAUGCAUUACAAUCGGGGAUUAUUCCAGCAGUUAUUAUCUCCAUCAUAUGUAAUUGGUUGUGCCAAGUUGAUAUAUAUCUACUUCAAAAUUUAGGAAACCAAGUAAGAAAUUAAUAGUUAAGGAGUACUCAACUCCAUAAAAGGACUAGACGGGCCCAUACUUUAGGCUCAAUGAAGUUUACUUAAUUGCUUGAAAAAUUGAAGAGCAAACUGCAAAGCAAUACCUGAACAUAUAUGGGUUGGAAUCAAAAUGUCCCAAUGGGCCAAAUGAACCUUUCACUCGACCCAAUCACAGCCCAACUUUGAUAAAUUAUACACCGAGUCAACAUAUGAUUUGAGAGAGUGCCAACUGUCUUGUAUUCUGCUAGGUGGCAGCUUUUCUCCUAACAUUUUCAUGCAGUGUCGUCACAGCAUUACCAUGCAAAUCAAACACGAAACUUUGACCAUAAAUACCCUUAUGCAUUAUCUUUUCUGGGGAAAAAAAGAGACUAUAAAUACCCUUUCAUAUUCUUCUUUUCCUGUUAGGCACAACUUAAAUUUGAGAAGAUCGAUAUAACAUGGCAAAUAAAGCUAGUAGCCUCGUUAGCUUCUUUGCAAUCCUUCUCAUUUUCUUCCUUGUUGUUAACACAGGUGAGCCGGUGACUACUUCAAUAAUUUGUGUUUUAGUAUCAUUGUAAAUUAAUUAAGGGUUCCUUUGUUUUUUUAAUAAUUUUUGGAGUUAAAUCGCAUAGAAUUAAUAUUUUUACGAUUGAAGUAUAUAUAUAUUAUGAUUAAUAUUUGUUUCAAAAUAUAUAAGACAUAAUUUAUUAGUUAUGAUCGUAUCAGCACUAUUGAAACACGUUUUUGGAUGAGUAUUAAGUAUAGUAAUAAGAUUGGUUACUCCAUGGGGAGUGAUCAUAAUGUAUGUUAGACCCUUGAAAUUAAUUAACCUUAAAAUAAAAAUAUUUACAAAUGAUCGAUCUCAUGAUUUUGAAUAUUUUUGCUAUANNNNNNNNNNNNNNNNNNNNNNNNNNNNNNNNNNNNNNNNNNNNNNNNNNNNNNNNNNNNNNNNNNNNNNNNNNNNNNNNNNNNNNNNNNNNNNNNNNNNUAUAUAUAUAUAUAUAUAUAUAUAUAUAUAUAUACACUACAUAAUCAACUAUUCUGAAUUUGCUUAAUUAGAAUAAUUGUUGGUGUAUUAAUUUUGCAGAAACAAUUAUAGGUGUUGAGGGAAAACUAUGUGAAAAAGCAAGCUUGACAUGGUCCGGGAAGUGCGGAAACACACAGAACUGUGAUAAGCAGUGCCAGAACUGGGAAUCUGCAAAACAUGGAGCAUGUCACAAACGAGGCAAUUGGAAAUGCUUUUGUUACUUUGAUUGUUGAACCAAUACCUGGGAAGGGAAUAUAUUAAGAAUCUUAAACCAUGCAUGCAUGCAUGAAAAUGCAUGCGAAUUCCCUCGUACGUGCUAGCUAUUAAAUUUGAUUACCUAGCCUGUUAUUAUUAGUAUGUAGGUAUUGUUAAUUAUCUAAAUAAAUAAAACGAAAUGGUUCUUAGCUAGCUAGCUAGCUAGCUAGCGCAUGAUCAUGAAUAUGGCUAGAAGUUGUUUCAUGUAUCUGUUUUGAUCCAUCGUUCGUACGUUUCAAUGUUUUAUGAAUAAAUUAAGUGUUUCUUAUCAUGCAGUAGUAGUUGUACUUUUUAUGGAAGUACGUACUUUAGGCCAAUAUAAUGUUUGCGAGUCUUAUGAAUAGAUAGGAAAGAGAAAGUUCUUUCAAAACUUUAUCUUCCCUUGUAAUUCUCAAAACUA